GAUGAACGCUGGCGGCGUGCCUAAUACAUGCAAGUCGAGCGAACGGACGAGAAGCUCGCUUUUCUGAUGUUAGCGGCGGACGGGUGAGUAACACGUGGAUAACCUACCUAUAAGACUGGGAUAACUUCGGGAAACCGGAGCUAAUACCGGAUAAUAUUUUGAACCGCAUGGUUCAAAAGUGAAAGACGGUCUUGCUGUCACUUAUAGAUGGAUCCGCGCUGCAUUAGCUAGUUGGUAAGGUAACGGCUUACAAAGGCAACGAUGCAUAGCCGACCUGAGAGGGUGAUCGGCCACACUGGAACUGAGACACGGUCCAGACUCCUACGGGAGGCAGCAGUAGGGAAUCUUCCGCAAUGGGCGAAAGCCUGACGGAGCAACGCCGCGUGAGUGAUGAAGGUCUUCGGAUCGUAAAACUCUGUUAUUAGGGAAGAACAUAUGUGUAAGUAACUGUGCACAUCUUGACGGUACCUAAUCAGAAAGCCACGGCUAACUACGUG
This 497-nucleotide ribosomal RNA is filed under the name uncultured bacterium. RNAcentral describes it as "partial 16S ribosomal RNA". It matches the Rfam family "Bacterial small subunit ribosomal RNA", at positions 28 to 507 of the family's 1533-position model. The record is from RNAcentral.